This 60-nucleotide transfer RNA is filed under the name Felis catus (domestic cat). The record is from Rfam by way of RNAcentral. Lineage: Eukaryota; Metazoa; Chordata; Mammalia; Carnivora; Felidae.
GGCUGAGUGGCUCAGUUGGUUGAGCGUCUGACUUCAGCUCAGGUCAUGAUCUUUCAGCCA